RNAcentral lists this ribosomal RNA (306 nucleotides) under Triticum aestivum (bread wheat). Its description in RNAcentral is "partial small subunit ribosomal RNA". Lineage: Eukaryota; Viridiplantae; Streptophyta; Magnoliopsida; Poales; Poaceae. The record is from RNAcentral.
AUGCAGUGGUUGCCGUAUCGUGCCUUGUCCGAACAAGCGGGGUUCGGGAGGGCUACAAACCCAACAACAUCACCACUACCACCUCACAAGCCUGCAACAGUGGGAUCCACUGCGGCCUCAACCCACGAGGGUGGCCAAUGGUUCAAGGACAAUGAGAGAGGAUGGCUACCGACGAUCUCGUCGCCACACAUGGUGAGCUAUCGCAUGUUACUAAAGGAAAUAUGCCCUAAAGGCAAUAAUAAAGUUGUUAUUUAUAUUCCCUUAUAUCAUGAUAAAUGUUUAUUAUUCAUGCUAGAAUUGUAUUAA